AAGCGUUUGUUUUGAUAACGAACUUAGCUGAUAUGCAAUGAGAGGCAAUAAUUUUAAACUUGGAGCAAAUCUUUAAAAAUUAUCUUAGUUCGGAUUAAGGGCUGAAACUCGCCCUUAUGAAGCUGGAAUCGCUAGUAAUCGCAAAAUAGCAUGUUGCGGUGAAUAU
This 166-nucleotide non-coding RNA is filed under the name Hyaloperonospora arabidopsidis Emoy2. RNAcentral's name for it is "Bacterial small subunit ribosomal RNA". It matches the Rfam family "Bacterial small subunit ribosomal RNA", at positions 1203 to 1368 of the family's 1533-position model. Lineage: Eukaryota; Oomycota; Peronosporomycetes; Peronosporales; Peronosporaceae. The record is from Rfam by way of RNAcentral.